UACGUAGGGUGCAGGCGUUAAUCGGAAUUACUGGGCGUAAAGCGUGCGCAGGCGGUUCGUUAAGUCAGAUGUGAAAGCCCCGGGCUCAACCUGGGAACUGCAUUUGAAACUGGCGGGCUUGAGUAUGGCAGAGGGGGGUGGAAUUCCGCGUGUAGCAGUGAAAUGCGUAGAGAUGCGGAGGAACACCGAUGGCGAAGGCAGCCCCCUGGGCCAAUACUGACGCUCAGGCACGAAAGCGUGGGGAGCAAACAGG
Molecule: ribosomal RNA, 253 nt
Filed under: uncultured bacterium
Lineage: Bacteria
Description: partial 16S ribosomal RNA
Rfam family: Bacterial small subunit ribosomal RNA
Source: RNAcentral